Molecule: long non-coding RNA, 1127 nt
Organism: Cyprinus carpio carpio
Lineage: Eukaryota; Metazoa; Chordata; Actinopteri; Cypriniformes; Cyprinidae
Source: Ensembl
GAUCCAGCAAGAUGGCUGCCAGCGGAGGUGUUGCAGAACAUAAUGCAGUCCAAUGUUUACUGCAUCAUCCACGGACAUGUUUGCUCUGUAAGCAAACUGCAGGGGGUCCAGUAAGGGUCCAGUGAUGUCCUUCAGGAGUGCUCUGUUGUGUUACCGGACCCCUCUCUCUGUGGGGAACACCUUCAGCAAAGCCUCCAUACGGUUUUCUUCAUUUGACCUGCCACUGAUGGAUCAUCUGUUCACCUUCAACAGGCGACAUGGAAAUAUGGUGGAGACGCUCUCACGGUGAAGCAAGACACAAGCGUAUGAAAACGGUGAUGACAGCUGGUGUUUAAAAUCCUGUCUAGUAGAUGCUAGAGGAAAGACUCCACCCUCUUCUGCGUUUGGGGUGCAACACUAGAGACUGGAUCAAUGAAGUCAGAUGGUGGAUCUUCAUGUACAUCUUCUCUAGUGUUUCCAGAACUACCCUUUCUACAGCUGCGAUACAGAAAUGAUGCAUUUAGCAGCUUAUUUAAACCGAUAAAUACCAUGCGUGCACAUUGAUUUAGUAUGGAACUCAAGACUGGAUUUUCCUCUCACUCCAGAGAGGUACCUUAUUUUAAAGAGGCACACUGGAGCUCAAAGGAGCUCACACUGGAGUUGGUGGAUGAGCCUCCAGCCGUCUCUGUGAUGGUCUGCCGGAGACACUGGAGCAGUGAAAGAUGGAGUGACUAAGAUUUGCUUCUUACCAAGGUUGAUCCACACACCAGCCGUCUCCAGGAGGCUCUUCCUGAGACAUGCGCACUGGAGUGGAGAAAGCUGGAGGAGGGCUGUUCAUGACGAGAGAAAAUCAAGAGAUGUUGUGGCAACCUGGACAGAAUUCAGCUCCAGAUCCACCCUCAACACUCACAAGGAUUGCUGUCUACUUAGGCUAGUGACAAUGCCCCUGAAUUUUUGAGAUACCCCUACCGGAGGUAGAACUAAACCCAACAAUGUUUUUCCUCAUCUCUAAGGUCUCCCAUUUAUGAAAUGGAUUCUUGGCUAAAAAUAUUUUACUGCUAAGAUUGUUAAAUUAACAGAUAUUGUUAUACACCCCAAAACCAAAAAAGGACAAGCAGAAGUAGCCCAAUAAUUGUAAAAAAGGAGAC